GAUGAACGCUGGCGGCGUGCCUAAUACAUGCAAGUCGAGCGAACAGACGAGGAGCUUGCUCCUCUGACGUUAGCGGCGGACGGGUGAGUAACACGUGGAUAACCUACCUAUAAGACUGGGAUAACUUCGGGAAACCGGAGCUAAUACCGGAUAAUAUCUUGAACCGCAUGGUUCAAUAGUGAAAGACGGUUUUGCUGUCACUUAUAGAUGGAUCCGCUCCGCAUUAGCUAGUUGGUAAGGUAACGGCUUACCAAGGCAACGAUGCGUAGCCGACCUGAGAGGGUGAUCGGCCACACGGGAACUGAGACACGGUCCAGACUCCUACGGGAGGCAGCAGUAGGGAAUCUUCCGCAAUGGGCGAAAGCCUGACGGAGCAACGCCGCGUGAGUGAUGAAGGUCUUCGGAUCGUAAAACUCUGUUAUUAGGGAAGAACAAAUGUGUAAGUAACUAUGCACGUCUUGACGGUACCUAAUCAGAAAGCCACGGCUAACUACGUG
This 497-nucleotide ribosomal RNA is filed under the name uncultured bacterium. RNAcentral describes it as "partial 16S ribosomal RNA". It matches the Rfam family "Bacterial small subunit ribosomal RNA", at positions 28 to 507 of the family's 1533-position model. The record is from RNAcentral.